This 492-nucleotide ribosomal RNA is filed under the name uncultured bacterium. RNAcentral's name for it is "partial 16S ribosomal RNA". It matches the Rfam family "Bacterial small subunit ribosomal RNA", at positions 29 to 507 of the family's 1533-position model. The record is from RNAcentral.
AGUGAACGCUGGCGGUAGGCCUAACACAUGCAAGUCGAACGGCAGCACAGUAAGAGCUUGCUCUUACGGGUGGCGAGUGGCGGACGGGUGAGGAAUACAUCGGAAUCUACUUUUUCGUGGGGGAUAACGUAGGGAAACUUACGCUAAUACCGCAUACGACCUACAGGUGAAAGCAGGGGAUCUUCGGACCUUGCGCGAUUGAAUGAGCCGAUGUCGGAUUAGCUAGUUGGCGGGGUAAAGGCCCACCAAGGCGACGAUCCGUAGCUGGUCUGAGAGGAUGAGCAGCCACACUGGAACUGAGACACGGUCCAGACUCCUACGGGAGGCAGAAGUGGGGAAUAUUGGACAAUGGGCGCAAGCCUGAUCCAGCCAUACCGCGUGGGUGAAGAAGGCCUUCGGGUUGUAAAGCCCUUUUGUUGGGAAAGAAAAGCAGCAGGUUAAUACCCCGCUGUUCUGACGGUACCCAACGAAUAAGCACCGGCUAACUUCGUG